AUUGAACGCUGGCGGCAUGCCUUACACAUGCAAGUCGAACGGUAACAGGUUAAGCUGACGAGUGGCGAACGGGUGAGUAAUGUAUCGGAACGUGCCCAGUCGUGGGGGGAUAACGUAGCGAAAGCUACGCUAAUACCGCAUACGAUCUAUGGAUGAAAGCGGGGGAUCGCAAGACCUCGCGCGAUUGGAGCGGCCGAUAUCAGAUUAGGUAGUUGGUGGGGUAAAGGCCCACCAAGCCGACGAUCUGUAGCUGGUCUGAGAGGACGACCAGCCACACUGGGACUGAGACACGGCCCAGACUCCUACGGAGGCAGCAGUGGGGAAUUUUGGACAAUGGGCGCAAGCCUGAUCCAGCAAUGACCGCGUGCAGGAUGAA
This 376-nucleotide ribosomal RNA is filed under the name uncultured bacterium. RNAcentral's name for it is "bacterial SSU rRNA". It matches the Rfam family "Bacterial small subunit ribosomal RNA", at positions 30 to 412 of the family's 1533-position model. The record is from RNAcentral.